UUACCUGAAGUGGGUUACCUGAAGUUCCUAGACCUGGGGUUCGAAAUUCAUCAACGGGACACCCCGAUACCCACUGCACAGAAGCCAUUGGUCUCUUGGACAAAGAAGGCCCAAUGGCACGAGACAAAAGGAGGUCAAUACAUUAUCGGUCCAUGGGUGUUGCCAUGGAGAGGUGGGUAAAAUAUUUACCAUCUCGGGGGUCUCUACGAUUGUUUUCCGAGCCAAUUGCACCAGAUAUGUUGCAGAAGAACACUGAAGAAGCCACGCACCCAGGUCAUUUCAGGAAGCAAAGGUCUUUAUUUCUCACCGAUCUGGUCUCAGCUGAACUCAAAAGGUCUGAGUACUGAACACAUGAAGUAGAGGUUUUUUUAUAAGCAUGCAUUCCCCUUACACCAAUCAGCAAACAGGAUACACAGGAUUACCUUAUAUGGGUAGGCAACAUGGCCCUUGAGGAGAAUAUACACCCUGUUCAAAAUUAUUAUUGAUGCAAAUUCUAUUUAAGUGUCACAAAGAUUAAAUAUUUUGUUUUUCAGUUUAAUUCAUGGAUGGCAUUGUGUCUCAGGGCUCUUUUGAUCACUGAAAACAAUCUCGGACACCUGUGAUAAUUACAUUGCCAGGUGAGGAAAAAGUACUAAAGGAGGGUGUUCCACAUUAUUAAGCAGAGCACCAUUUUCAUGCAAUAUGGGGAAGAAAAAGGAUCUCUCUGCUGCCGAAAAGAGUGAAGUAGUUCAAUGCCUUGGACGAGGUAUGAAAACAUUAGAUAUUUCACGAAAACUUAAGCGUGAUCAUCACACUAUUAAAAGAUUUGUGGCUGAUUCAGAGCAGAUAAAGGCACAUUGAGGAAAUUUCUGCCAGAUCCAUGCAUUGGAUCAAGAGAGCAGCUGCUAAAAUACCAUUAUAUAGCAGCAAACAGAUAUUUGAAGCUGCUGGUACCUCUGGAGUCCCACUGACAUCAAGGUGUAGAGUCCUCCAGAGUCUUGCAACUGUGCAUAAACCUUCUAUUCGGCCACCACUAACCAAUGCUCACAAGCAGAAAUGGCUGCAUUGGGCAGAAAAAUACAUGACUAAUUUUCAAACAGUCCUAUUCACUGAUGAGUGCCAUGCAACCCUGGAUGGUCCAGAUGGAUAGAGUAGUGGAUGGUCGGUGGACGGUCACCCUGUUCCAACAAGGCUGCAACGUCAGCAAGGUGGUGGUGGAGUCAUGUUUUGGGCCGGAAUCAUGGAAAGAGACCUGGUCGGCCCCUUUAGAGUCCCCAAAGGUGUAAAGAUGACCUCUGCAAAGUAUGUGGUGUUUCUGACUGACCACUUUGUCCCUGGUACAGAAGAAAGAACUAUGCUUUCCGUAAUAAAAUCAUCUUCAUGCAUGACAAUGCACCAUCUCAUGCUGCAAAGAAUACUUCUGCAUCAAUGGCUGCUAUGGGGAUAAAAGGAGAGAAAGUCAUGGUGUUGCCUCCAUCCUCCCCUGACCUCGAUCCUAUUGAGAACCUUUGGAGCAUCCUCAAGCAAAAGAUCUAUGAGGGUGGGAUUCAGUUUACAUCCAAACAGCAGCUCUGGGAGGCUAUUCUGACAUCUUGCAAACAAAUUCAAGCAGAAACUGUCCAAAAACUCACAAGUUCAAUGGAUGCAAGACUUGUGAAGCUGCUAUCAAAUAAAGGGUCUAUAAGGGGUCUAUGUUAAAAUGUAACGUGACCUGUGGAAAUGUUUAAAAAGUUAAAAUGUUGUUAUAAGUUUGAUUGAAAUCGCUUUUGAUUUCAGUAAAUAUGCUGCAAACACAACAAAUGACAAUUUUCAGUUCCCGCCAACCGGGAUGUUUUCUUGUGGACUGCCUGCCCCUGUCUGGGGCCACAGGGCUGGGCGAGCGACUCUUGAGCCGCCCUCAACGCCGGGCCAAUCCUUAAAGCGCCCAAAGGUGGAGGUGCAGAGAAGAGCCCUGUCACAGGGGGGCCAUUUGGCCACCCCAGAACGCACCAGAUGCAGACACCUAAUUACAUUGAUGGCAGGUGUCUGCUCUGCCAACAAAUGCAGGUGACCUGGGGAGAGGGGGACGGAGAAGGCAGGCUGCGAGGGAGCUGUUCUUGCAGCCUCUCACUCCUCCCUCGCACACCCUCUGUGAUGCCGGGAGACGGAAUAUGAUGUCUUUCUGGCCCUGAGAUACUAAACAGCGCGCUGGAGGAGUGAGGAACUGCCCCAUACUGGACCACAGGGAGGUAGGGAGGAUGGAUAGGCCUCAAAAAAUAAAAUUGUGUGAGUCUGUGUGUCAAUGAGUCUAUGUAUGUCAGUGAGUGUAUGUAUGUCAGUGAGUGAGUGAGUGUCUGUGUGUGUGUGUGUAUGUCAAUGAAUGAGUGUAUGUUUGUCUGUCAGUAAGUGUGUGUGUGUGUCUGUCAGUGUAUGUCUGUCAGUGAGGGAGUGUAUGUCUGUAUGUCUGUCAGUGAGUGUGUGUGUGUUUGUGUGUCUGUCAGUGAGUGUGUGUCUGUCAGUGAGGGAGUGUAUGUCUGUUAGUGGGUUUUUAUGUGUGUGUGUGUCAGUGAGUGUGUAUGUGUCUACCAGUGUGUGUCUGUCAGUGAGUGCGUGACAUGAGGGGGCGGCAAUACGGAUUUUUGCCAAGGGCGGCGAAAUCCUUGCACCAGCCCUGCAUAUACUCUUCCUUACAUAUACAAUAUUCAAAUAAUGUCAUAUUUAUUUAAAAAAUAUUCUUUACUACCUCUAAUCAGGCUUGUUCUCCAAUAUGGGAUUAACAUAGCUCGCAUCCGCCCCUAUUUAACACCAGACACUGCUAAGGUGCUGGUCCAUGCUGUUGUUCUUUCUCGCCUUGACUACUGAAAUCCCCUUCUCAGUGGUCUUACGUGUUCCCAGAGUGCACCGCUGCUAUCUAUAAUGAAUUCGGCGGUGAGGCUCAUUUUCCUGUCCGCCAGCACCUCCCAUUGGCUUCCUGUUAGAUAUAGGGCACAAUUUAAGAUUCUGGUGCUUACAAGUCCCUACAUAAUGUUGCUCCAUCUACCUAUCCUCCCUAAUACACAAGUAUGCCCCGUCGAGGCCCCUGCGCUCUGCCGAUAACCUACGUCUAUCCUCUGUCCUUACUUCCACAUCUGAUGCUCACCUCCAAGACUUCUCCAGGGCUGCACCUUUUCUGUGGAUCUCCCUUCCCUUCUCUGUUAGACUUUCACCCAGUUUCCAAUCCUUCAAAAAAUCUUUAAAAACACACUUCUUCAGGAAAGCAUAUCAUUUAAACUGUUAGCGGGUAUUAAUUCCUCUUCCACCCCAUGACUCCUCUCCUGCAAUUGUCAAAAAUAACCCAAGUUCUCAAUGAAUACUUUUACUUAGCAACCUAUUUCAUUACCCGUACACCCAAGAAUGGUUUAAGCUUUGUGUCACUAUACCCCACUCCCUCUAGCACAGGCUUCCCCAAACGGAGUUGUAGUUCAGCAACAUCUGGAGGGCUGGAGUUUAGGGAAGCCUGCUCUAGCAUGUAAGGUCAUUGAGCAGGGCCCUCAACUCCUCUGUUCCUGUGCGUCCAUUUGUCUGGUUACAAUUACGUGUCUGUUAGUCCACCCAUUGUACAACGUUACGGAAUUUGCUGGCGCUAUAGAAAUAAUAAUAAUAAUAAACGUAAAUAUCCGUGUCUACCUGUAUCAUUUGGAAUUUAAAUCAAAAUAAAUAAUUUUCUUGAGGCAGGGUGUAGAAUAUUACAUAUUCUAUAUGUCCCUAUUCAAAUACAUAUUAAGGUGUGGCUGUCUAAUGGGUUAAAAAGAACAGAUGGUGUUGGCUAUUCUGCACCAUGAGGGCUCGGGAAUGUGCUGUAUAGGGAUAUAGAGGGUAGGGUCCUUAUGUGGGGAGUUUCCUUAAGAGGCCAGAGUCUAAAUGAAACGUUAUGACGUAAUUUUGCCUAUAUAAAGGAAGAGGACAAUAGACCACGUUCUCUUCCUCCGACGAUCCGCUCUCCUCUCCUAAUUUGUUCCCUACUUGCUGAUACAUUUGAUACUUAAAGGGACACCGUAGGCACUGUAUCUUCUUCAUCUCAUUAAACUGGUUAUAAUGUCUGGAGUCUUCUGGUCCCAUCUUUUCUAUCAGCAUUAAACAGUUUUUAAAGUUUUAAUGUUUUAAUGCUAAACAAGAGACCCUGGCAGUCCAUCCCAUCUGUGCUGCUUUGGCUAAUAAGGAAGUAUUAGCCUGAGCAGAAAUGGGCAGCUGUGAUUGGCUGAGAGUGUCAGCUGACUGCUUCUAGCCUGUCAGAGUUCCAACUGACGGUAUGAGUGGGUAUGACAACAAGAAAGUGUGUAAUCUCUGCCUUAGCUACACAUACUGAAGGGGCCGGACUGUGGGUGGCCAGGGAUUCUUAUUUUGUGGCAUACUGCACGAACAUGGUGCAACACUGAAUGGAGGGACAGUGCCAGGCCACUCCAGGCACUAUAACCAAUUCAAAGAGAUGAAAUAUAGUGACUACAGUGUCCCUUUAAGAUAUCUCACUCUCUGUAACGUUGUUAAGAAAUAUCAUCUGUUAAGUAUAUUAUUGUUUGCUGUUGAAGUCGAAUAAAUGCAUAUUUUUUUAUAAAGAACAUCAGAUUGCAUAUUAGUACUUUUCAUUAAUCUAGAAGUAUAUUAAUGUAGCGAGCCUUUGACCCAAAUAGAAAUACCUAUAUAUAAAAGAAUUAUUCAACGAAAUAAACACAGAACAGUUAUAACACAGGG
Molecule: long non-coding RNA, 4686 nt
Filed under: Pelobates cultripes (western spadefoot toad)
Lineage: Eukaryota; Metazoa; Chordata; Amphibia; Anura; Pelobatidae
Source: RNAcentral